This 253-nucleotide ribosomal RNA is filed under the name uncultured bacterium. Its description in RNAcentral is "partial 16S ribosomal RNA". It matches the Rfam family "Bacterial small subunit ribosomal RNA", at positions 524 to 776 of the family's 1533-position model. The record is from RNAcentral.
UACGUAGGGAGCAAGCGUUGUCCGGAAUCAUUGGGCGUAAAGAGCGCGUAGGCGGUCCGGUAAGUCGGUUGUGAAAACUGGGGGCUCAACCCUCAGAGGCCGACCGAUACUGCCGGGCUAGAGUCCGGAAGAGGCGAGUGGAAUUCCUGGUGUAGCGGUGAAAUGCGCAGAUAUCAGGAGGAACACCGGUGGCGAAGGCGGGACUCUGGGCCGAUACUGACGCUGAGGAGCGAAAGCGUGGGGAGCAAACAGG